This 127-nucleotide small nucleolar RNA is filed under the name Podiceps cristatus (great crested grebe). The record is from RNAcentral. Lineage: Eukaryota; Metazoa; Chordata; Aves; Podicipediformes; Podicipedidae.
CUGCACUGCUCAGUGACCAGCUGGUCUUUCCCUGACCUCCCGGGUCUCCUUGCGGUGCCAGAUCAGUCCCUUCUAGCAGAAGGGCCAGGCUCAUGUGGUCUGUCCCUUUCGAAAGCUGGGUACAAAC